This 254-nucleotide ribosomal RNA is filed under the name uncultured bacterium. RNAcentral describes it as "partial 16S ribosomal RNA". It matches the Rfam family "Bacterial small subunit ribosomal RNA", at positions 524 to 776 of the family's 1533-position model. The record is from RNAcentral.
UACGUAGGGACCAAGCGUUGUUCGGAUUUACUGGGCGUAAAGGGCGCGUAGGCGGCAUGACAAGUCACUUGUGAAAUCUCUGGGCUUAACCCAGAACGGCCAAGUGAUACUGUCGCGCUAGAGUGCGGAAGGGGCAAUCGGAAUUCUCGGUGUAGCGGUGAAAUGCGUAGAUAUCGAGAGGAACACCUGAGGUGAAGACGGGUUGCUGGGCCGACACUGACGCUGAGUGCGCGAAAGCCAGGGGAGCGAACGGG